Long non-coding RNA from Dermacentor andersoni, 473 nucleotides. RefSeq lists it as uncharacterized. Lineage: Eukaryota; Metazoa; Arthropoda; Arachnida; Ixodida; Ixodidae. The record is from RefSeq and is a predicted model, not a curated record.
UUGUUGCUUUCGAAGUGAAAUAAUUGCGCUCAAUGAACGUUUCAUGUAGUGUUUAUGUGAUAUAUGACUUUGGCCAAUUUUUCCUGAAAUCAUUCUUUACCCCUGUUUUCGAGGUUGUGACCUGGUGGCCAGCUGUUCCAGCUGCUUGGUGUCUCGAUGCCCACCCUGUGGAUCUGGUGGCCAGCUAAUCUAGCGACAUGGACAUCACCAUGGCUUCUGGUGGAAACAACGCGGGGACGGACGGCCGGCCGGGCCAAGUUCCGCUUCAUAGCAUACGAGCGAACGGGAGGAGAUCGAACCGAUCGUGGCGAGUACCCAUCCCUCAAGCGAAGGCGAUGCUGGCGUUUCGUGCAUCGUCACCGGGACCGGUGUGGGAGGCCGCACUGUGACCGACUCUACUAGCUAGGCCACCAAGGCGAUCGCAUCGAAGACGUGUCUUCUUGCGUCUUGAUCUUUCCGUAGCCUUUCGCUCU